This 587-nucleotide long non-coding RNA is filed under the name Fukomys damarensis (Damara mole-rat). RNAcentral's name for it is "lncRNA (ENSFDAG00000029820.1)". The record is from RNAcentral. Lineage: Eukaryota; Metazoa; Chordata; Mammalia; Rodentia; Bathyergidae.
GGCCAGCCUAGCUGGGACCCAUGGGAAGGAAUACAAACAUUCUAGAGACAACCUGCUGUGGUGAGUACGUUUACGUGUGUAAAGGUAGGAGUCGUUUAUUUUAUAACUAUGUGAAGCUGUCCCAUUUUGUGUUCUGUGUUUAGGUUUUCAUCCUGAACAGUGUACUAUGAAAAUUCCUCCAAGUCAACUGAUAUAAAGAGGAAAAAUUAUAAUGGUUUUGAGUAGCAUUCAGCGUAGCCUUGUAAAAACCUCUGUGGACUUCAGUUUUCUUGGUAAGGUGAUUACUGUCUCUCUCGUGUAAGGUUGUCGUGUCAAGUGAAGGCUAGCUCAGGGGAAGUGCUUGGAGAAGAAGAGCUGAAUGCAUUUCGUUUAAUGGCUGUGUGACGUGGGGCACCCUAGAAAGCCAUUUGCCUGCUGAGGGGCGCUCUCUCUCCCUUCUAUCUCCCACUACCAACAAACAAUGCCGCAAUAAACACUUCUGCAUCUACCGCAUCUAGGAGUGCUUUUGUUUCCAUGCGGACUCCUAAGAGUGUGACAGGUAAAUGUAUUUUAAAUUUCAAAGGACCAGAUCGUUUGGUGGUGGUGGU